Molecule: ribosomal RNA, 500 nt
Filed under: Citrobacter sp. AER No. 204
Lineage: Bacteria; Pseudomonadati; Pseudomonadota; Gammaproteobacteria; Enterobacterales; Enterobacteriaceae
Description: bacterial SSU rRNA
Rfam family: Bacterial small subunit ribosomal RNA
Source: RNAcentral
UUGAUCCUGGCUCAGAUUGAACGCUGGCGGCAGGCCUAACACAUGCAAGUCGAACGGUAGCACAGAGGAGCUUGCUCCUUGGGUGACGAGUGGCGGACGGGUGAGUAAUGUCUGGGAAACUGCCCGAUGGAGGGGGAUAACUACUGGAAACGGUAGCUAAUACCGCAUAACGUCGCAAGACCAAAGAGGGGGACCUUCGGGCCUCUUGCCAUCGGAUGUGCCCAGAUGGGAUUAGCUAGUAGGUGGGGUAACGGCUCACCUAGGCGACGAUCCCUAGCUGGUCUGAGAGGAUGACCAGCCACACUGGAACUGAGACACGGUCCAGACUCCUACGGGAGGCAGCAGUGGGGAAUAUUGCACAAUGGGCGCAAGCCUGAUGCAGCCAUGCCGCGUGUAUGAAGAAGGCCUUCGGGUUGUAAAGUACUUCAGCGAGGAGGAAGGUGUUGUGGUUAAUAACCGCAGCAAUUGACGUACUCGCAGAAGAAGCACCGCUAACUCCG